Long non-coding RNA from Anneissia japonica, 1517 nucleotides. RefSeq lists it as uncharacterized. The transcript has 8 exons. The record is from RefSeq and is a predicted model, not a curated record. Lineage: Eukaryota; Metazoa; Echinodermata; Crinoidea; Comatulida; Comatulidae.
UGGUGGCGCACCAUCGAGAUCAACGAACUCAACUCUGGAAAAAGUAUACUGUUUGAAAGCAUGGAGGUCCAUGUUGUUGGUUAUGCUGUAAUAUCUGUGAAGAACGGUGGAAUGGCCGAUGUUGAAAGAUAUUUAAAGGCUCUUUGCAACUUGACUCAUUUGCAUACUUCACUAGACCAUGGUUUCAUCACAAUGAUGUUUUAUGAUAAUGAAUAUUCAUUGUCAGACACUUGAAACUACAAAAAUCAGGAAACUGCUGAAAUGACACCACAGCAAGAGCAACAUCUAGAUAGCAUGUGCAUGUGCGUUUCACCACAGCGAAUCAUGAAUGUUGUAACCUUCUACCGCUUGGCCAGGGAACAUUUAAGUACAAGCUAUUUGCUAGUUGACCAUUUGCAUAAUUCACCCAGACCAUGGUCUUAUCACAAUGAUGUAAUGUUAAUGAAUAUUCAUAGUCAGACACUUGAAACAACAAAAAUCUGGAAACUGCUGAAAUGACACCACAGCAAGAGCAACUUUUAGAUAGCAUAUACAUGUGCAUUUCACCACAGUGGAUCACACGCUCAUUGUAACCUUUUACCGCUUGGAUAGGCCAGGGAACAUUUUAAAGCUGUUUGCUAGUUGACUCAUUUGCGUAAUUCACCAGACCAUGGUCUCAUCACAAUGAUGUAAUGAUAAUGAAUAUUCAUAGUCAGACACUUGAAACUACAAAAAUCAGGAAACUGCUGAAAUGACACCACAGCAAGAGCAACAUCUAGAUAGCAUGUGCAUGUGCGUUUCACCACAGCAAAUCACGAAAGUUGUAAUCUUCUACUGCUUGGCCAGGGAACUUUUAAGUACAAGCUGUUUGCUACAUGACUCAUUUGCAUAAUUCAACAGACCAUGGUCUCAUCACAAUGAUGUAUUAUGAUAAUGAAUAUUCAUUGUCAGACACUUGAAACUACAAAAAUCAGGAAACUGCUGAAAUGACACCACAGCAAGAGCAACAUCUAGAUAGCAUGUGCAUGUGCGUUUCACCACAGCGAAUCACAAAAGUUGUAACCUUCUACCGCUUGGCCAGGGAAAAUUUAAGCACAAGCUGUUUGCUACAUGACUCAUUUGCAUAAUUCAACAGACCAUGGUCUCAUCACAGUGAUGUAUUAUGAUAAUGAAUAUUCAUUGUCAGACACUUGAAACUACAAAAAUCAGGAAACUGCUGAAAUGACGCCACAGCAAGAGCAACAUCUAGAUAGCAUGUGCAUGUGCGUUUCACCACAGCGAAUCACAAAAGUUGUAACCUUCUACCGCUUGGCCAGGGAACAUUUAAGCACAAAAACUCUGAAGAAAAUUUAGACACUGCACCUCUGCAAUGAGUGGACCAGCCCUGCUUGGCUGAAUGGCGAAUUUUGCUUCCUCUACUGAAUGAAUGUGGCUACUGGUGAUUUGGCAAUUGAAGCUUUAUAUUUCAAAUAGUCUUUGUAAUUUAGUAAAUAAUUAUUGGAAAUAAUUUGAAUAAAUAAAUAUUCAUUGUAAUUUAG